This is a long non-coding RNA of Homo sapiens (human), 1635 nucleotides long. The record is from Ensembl. Lineage: Eukaryota; Metazoa; Chordata; Mammalia; Primates; Hominidae.
AGAACGGAAAGCGUUGGCCCUUCUGCAUUACAAAACAGCAUAGAACAGUAAUUGCCAGUGGAAGAGAUUAAGUGUAGACACUAAAAAUGUUUACUCGCAAUGAAUAUGCAUAACGAUGGGUAGGAAACAGCACUGGAAGAUUAAAAAGAGAGAAGGGUUUGUUUACAAGGCUGGGAAAAAAAAAAGAGUGGAAUGUCAGUUGGCCCCGAGCCUGAAAUAGGAACGAAAAACCUUUGGGCAAGGCAUUAGGGAGAAAAACAGAUGGUUUGUGAACCUUUUAUUAGAUAGAAAAAUCAUUAAUCAAGCCCAGGCUGGAAAUGGCAGGGUUUUUGGUAGUUCAUAUUUUAGUUUAUUUUUUCUUAAAGUGACAGUAUACUUUUUUUUUUUUUUUUUUGGUCUUUUUGGGACAGUCAUCUAUGGAUAAUCUGUCAAUAGGCACUGCAUUUGUAUGACAUUCCACAUUAAAGCCAGCUUCAUUUUAAGGUAGUGUUAGUACUCAUUUGUUCUACUGAGAAAAUUCCUCCAAAGGGUUUCACAUUUCGGCACCUGUUUUGCCCAUAUAGCAAUUUAAAAAAAAUUGCAGCAUGAAAUAUUUUUUUUUCAUUCAUGUGCCAUUCCUUUGCUUUGGGAACUUGGAGAAGAAAAUGGAGAAGAGGAAACUUUUACAUCAACUGUGGAAGUCAAGGCCAGAAAUCACUCACUAUAUCAUCUGAUAUUCCUCUGAUCGUUAUACCUAUUCUCAGUGUUAAGGAAAUGAGACCAGUUGAAACGUCCACAUUAAAAUAAGAAGAAGGAGAGAAGGUUUUCUAAUUGCAGGUCUCUGUUCUGAUCCCAUUACCAUCUCCCUCUGAUUAUCAUUCUCCUGAAAAUCUUAGCUUCAUUCAUACCCCUUCCCUUCCCUUAGUUUCCUUUAUGAACUUAUUUAUCUUCAUGCAAUUUGCCUGCAGUUAAUGUCAUCGUUAAAUAAAGAAUGCCAUAAAGGAACGAGAUCAGCAGUGACCUUCUGCACAGUUUCCAAAGCCUCGCCAACCUACCUCCGUGUCCUGGUCUGACUUAUGGCAGAAACAGAAGUUCAAAGACCUGGCUGAUAUGCUCCGUUAAAAACCCUUCCACAACGCAGUUAACAUUUUCUGUUUUCUGACUUUCUUUUUCUAAAGAGAUGCUUAAAGCAAAAAAGGUUUCCUGCCACAAAAAUGACAUUAAUAUUUCGUAAAUCAAGAACUAAGAUAAUGUUUUGGCUGCUACAGAGACGUUUACCUUAUGUCGUUUAUCUAAAUGCUUUUCGAUUAAAACAUGACACAAUUUUUGGACUGUUUUUUACCGGAAAAAACAAUUCCAAGAACUUUCUUAUUUCAGAGCCUAAAAUUCUUUAGUAUAUUCCUCAUCAGAAUUCACUGUGGAGUAUACAGCCUUUUAGCUCAUUCAGAAAGUCUUCCCAAAAAACAAGCCUUUGCCAAAGAUCAUUUGAGUGCACUAAAUCAAAUAAUCAACUAAAAGUCAAGAAGAAACCUUCAAAUGAAAACCAUAUAAAUAUGUUUGUAAACUUUCAAGUAACUGCAAUGUCAACAAUUGUAUUCCCCAAGAUACAAUUCUUUUCUAUAUUGACCUAUUAAAAAACUCGAUUCGUUCAAAGAA